Molecule: small RNA, 181 nt
Filed under: Calidris pygmaea (Spoon-billed sandpiper)
Lineage: Eukaryota; Metazoa; Chordata; Aves; Charadriiformes; Scolopacidae
Description: TUC338 (ENSCPGG00000012135.1)
Source: RNAcentral
CUGACAGCAUUGGAAACUGAAGUCCUUUUUUUGUCCACUAAACAGGUACAGCGUGAGCAGCAGCAGCAGUGCGAGUUUCACCCCAUUGCCCCACCGCAGUGCGGCAAACCCUGACCUAGAGAGAGACCUCUAGCAAGGGUUAAGAGGCUUGUUCAGUCUCCAUGCUCACUCAGUCGUUACU